AUGGCCCGUCUGCUGUCUCUGAUGGAGGACGUCGCAACUAAGACCGGCGGCCUCUCCUCCACUGCUGGUGCUGGGGCGUCGCGGCUCGGACGGUGGGUGGCCAAGGAGGACGACGACGCGGUGUACCUCAAGGUGCCGAUGCCGGGGCUGACCAAGGAGCACGUGAAGGUGCGCGCGGACAAGAACAUCCUGGUGAUCGAGGGCGAGGGCGAGAAGCAGCCCUGGGACGGCGACGACGACUCCGCGGUGCCAAAGUACAACCGCCGCAUCGAGAUGCCCGCUGCUGACGCGUACAAGAUGGACAAGAUCAAGGCCGAGAUGAAGAAUGGCGUGCUCUGGGUCACCCUGCUCAAGGUCAAGGAGGAGGAGCGCACGGACGUCUUCCACGUCAAGGUCGAGUAG
RNAcentral lists this ribosomal RNA (402 nucleotides) under Triticum aestivum (bread wheat). RNAcentral describes it as "partial small subunit ribosomal RNA". The record is from RNAcentral. Lineage: Eukaryota; Viridiplantae; Streptophyta; Magnoliopsida; Poales; Poaceae.